CACCACUUAGUCCCUCUUUUUUUUAACAAAAAACCUGGCUUAAAGACACAGCUGCUAGAACACGUGAGUAUAAAAAACUUUUUCUCUUUUCUCCUUAAGUUAAAUUGGAAUCAGCAGUUUUUUUUCUUUUUCUUCCCUUUAAUCUUAAGGGACAGCUGGGUAGCUCAGCGGAUUGAGAGCCAGCCCUAGAGACAGAAGGUCCUGGGUUCAAAUUGGACCUCGGAUACUUCCCAGCUGUGUGACUCUGAUAGACAGAAAACAGCUGUUUUAAAUCUCAGCAACAGGACUCUAAAGUCCUGGCUGGAAGAACUGUUUCUAAAUAUCCUUUCCCUUAAGGAACAACUUCCUGGAUUAGAAAAAAAAAAAAGAAACCCUGUGGAAAGUUUGUUGCUUUGCCCUGCUCCCCACGUGUUUUGUGAAAUUACAAAAUAUAUAUAUAUAAAAAUGAGUACUACAUUCUUUAACAAUUAUAUGGCAGCUGAAGAAGUAGGGGCAUUGAGGAAUGCAGGAUACCUCCAAAUUUUUAUAUUAAUAGGUACUGUCAUUUGUGUAAUCCUCAAUACUAUAUUUAGAGAUGAUAAAAUAAGAAAAAUUGAGGAUAAAAUGCAAGCCCAAUUAGAAGAUCUAAAAAGUUUCUUACAGGAUCAAUUGGCAAACAACCACUCUACCAGAAACAGACCUGUUUCUGAACCUUUGAAUGAGGAAAUUUCCUUCCCUGAAAUAGAGAUGGAAAACACCUUCCCUAUAGCCCAGUUAACAGACUGCUUCUCUCGUGUAGUGCAAAUCUUGUCUGAAUUUAAUCCCCAAAACCCUCCCCCUGCAAUCCCAGCUUCUCAUGUUCCUUCUCCUACAGAAAACCAAAUUCCAAUGCAAGGGAGAUCUUGUCCUCCUAGAGAAACCUGUCCUUGUCAAACUGAACCACAGGUGCAAAAUUCAACUAGAGGCCUGUUUCCUCUAAGAGAAGUACCUGAAAUAGGACGGAAUGGGGAUGUGGUGACUUUAAGACAUAGGAUACCGUUUACUCCCCAAGAAAUAAAUGAAUUUACACGAAAUAUCCCCACAUAUGAACAAGAUCCUUUUCUAGUAGCAAAAAAGAUGGGAGACAUAUUUUUUCAGUAUAAUCCGUCUUACAAGGACGUUGAGAGCUUACUACAGGCUUUUUUAAGUGAACGUGAAAAAAAUAAAAUAAUUGCUCAUGUCAACAAAACCCGGGGGCGUAAUGCAGCACAUUGGCCAUCUCAGGAUCCCGAAUGGGACUAUAACAAUCCUGAGGAUUAUCUACAACUAUACUGUUGUAGAGAGGCCAUCCUCACGGCCAUGAAGGAAUGUGCAGACAGUACAGAUAAGUGGAUGGAACUGGAAAAAAUUAAGCAAAAGGAAGACGAAACACCCUCCAGAUUUAUGGACAGAAUUAUCGAGUUUGGGGACAGAUACUUAGAUUGGGACUUAACUAAAGAGAGUAGUUUAAGACAAGUUAGAAGAAUCUUUGUAAACAAUUCUUGCAAAGCAAUUAAGAAUUAUUUUAGAACACAAUGCCCAAGAUGGUCAGAUAUGGACCUUGAAGAAUUGCGAAAAACAGCUAUAUAUGUUUUAAAGGGAAACAAAGAAAAGGAGGAAGAAAAUAAUGAUGACAUGGAGGAAAUGAAGAAAAAAUAAGAUAUUUAAUAGAUAGGAUAACUAAAUUAGAAAGUGGGCAUGAUAAUGAACCAAC
Molecule: long non-coding RNA, 1711 nt
Filed under: Monodelphis domestica (gray short-tailed opossum)
Lineage: Eukaryota; Metazoa; Chordata; Mammalia; Didelphimorphia; Didelphidae
Description: lncRNA (ENSMODG00000043230.1)
Source: RNAcentral